This 387-nucleotide ribosomal RNA is filed under the name uncultured bacterium. Its description in RNAcentral is "bacterial SSU rRNA". It matches the Rfam family "Bacterial small subunit ribosomal RNA", at positions 527 to 916 of the family's 1533-position model. The record is from RNAcentral.
GUAGGGGGCAAGCGUUAUCCGGAUUUACUGGGUGUAAAGGGCGUGUAGGCGGGAUCGCAAGUCAGAUGUGAAAACUGGAGGCUCAACCUCCAGCCUGCAUUUGAAACUGUGGUUCUUGAGUACUGGAGAGGCAGACGGAAUUCCUAGUGUAGCGGUGAAAUGCGUAGAUAUUAGGAGGAACACCAGUGGCGAAGGCGGUCUGCUGGACAGCAACUGACGCUGAGGCGCGAAAGCGUGGGGAGCAAACAGGAUUAGAUACCCUUGUUGUCCACGCCGUAAACGAUGAGUACUAAGUGUUGGAUGUCAAAGUUCAGUGCUGCAGUUAACGCAAUAAGUACUCCGCCUGAGUAGUACGUUCGCAAGAAUGAAACUCAAAGGAAUUGACGG